UACGAAGGGGCGAGCGUUGUUCGGAAUUACUGGGCGUAAAGGGCUCGUAGGCGGCCAACUAAGUCAGACGUGAAAUCCCUCGGCUUAACCGGGGAACUGCGUCUGAUACUGGAUGGCUAGAGAUUGGGAGAGGGAUGCGGAAUUCCAGGUGUAGCGGUGAAAUGCGUAGAUAUCUGGAGGAACACCGGUGGCGAAGGCGGCAUCCUGGACCAACACUGACGCUGAGGAGCGAAAGCCAGGGGAGCAAAGCGGG
This 253-nucleotide ribosomal RNA is filed under the name uncultured bacterium. RNAcentral's name for it is "partial 16S ribosomal RNA". It matches the Rfam family "Bacterial small subunit ribosomal RNA", at positions 524 to 777 of the family's 1533-position model. The record is from RNAcentral.